Molecule: long non-coding RNA, 225 nt
Filed under: Elaeis guineensis (African oil palm)
Lineage: Eukaryota; Viridiplantae; Streptophyta; Magnoliopsida; Arecales; Arecaceae
Description: long non-coding RNA (EGUI_LNC032496)
Source: RNAcentral
UUAGACCUUCUCCAGGUUUAUUUGUGGAUAAUUCAUGUAGUCCAUCUAAAGAAGACCUUAUCAUCCAUGAUAUUUGGGAUGACUAUGAUAAUUAGCAUUAUCACAUAAUAAAGAAGUAAAAAUUAGCUCAGGAAAGAAAUAACUUCCAGGGAUUGUUACAUAAGCAAUAAAUUUCGAGGAAUUGAUCUUCUAAUCAAGAAGAAUUCCAUAGUUCUACUUCAUUGG